UCUAGCUUUACUAGUUUGCUGCCCUCUUUAUUUUCUGCUAAAGUGGUCACUGACCCUUCAACACAAAAUGGGAUAUGACGUAACUCCAGUCAGUUUAUUCACAGACACAUGACCUGUUUGUUUCAUGUGCCAGGCUUACUGUUUCAGAUGCUGCGGGGAGAAAGUAAAAUAGGCUGAUGUGGUCUCACUUCUUACAGGGCUAAUGAGAAGGGAAGAGCAAAACAAUACCCAGACAAAGUAACUGCUGAUUAAGAUGGACACUAUGAAAAAUCAGGACAGGACAGAAGGCAAUUGUUCCCUGAACUGGCAGGGCUCUCUUAUGGCUAACACAGCCCUGUGAAGAACACAGAAGGCUAUGAAAACAGCCUUUUAACAGAACUUCAUUCCACUUGCCUUCUUGAAGAAAAGCCAUUGGAGAACACAACAGCUGACGGCGUCAUCUCUGAAAGGAAGUUAAGCAGCUCUCUGAAGUGUCUCUAAAAUCAACCUUUCUCCACCCUGGAUUGUAAGCCACAGCACAAACGACAAUGUCUUCUGCUAAUCUGCUAGAGAUAAAAUGUUGAAAAAUGUUAAAACUGUUCUCUGCUGAUGUAUACAGUUUUGUGGAAAUUCUGUGUGGGGCAGAAGAAAAGCAUCUUUUACUGCUUCCUGGUUAUUUGGAAACUGACCAUCCCAGAGUUUUAGAAGAAAUCUCUUCAUCAACAUCCAGCCACUCUCUUUUAAACAGCCAAGAAUUUUUAAGAACUGAAAAAGAACAUGUAAUCAUAUGUAAUUUCCAAAUAAAAGAAUUUUU
This is a non-coding RNA of Peromyscus maniculatus bairdii (prairie deer mouse), 793 nucleotides long. The record is from RefSeq and is a predicted model, not a curated record. NCBI's taxonomy places the organism in Eukaryota, Metazoa, Chordata, Mammalia, Rodentia, Cricetidae.